This 1451-nucleotide ribosomal RNA is filed under the name metagenome. RNAcentral's name for it is "bacterial SSU rRNA". It matches the Rfam family "Archaeal small subunit ribosomal RNA". The record is from RNAcentral.
CCAGCUGAUCCUACUGGCGGGAACUGCUAUCGAAAUUCGAUUAGACAUGCAAGUCGCACAUCUACGGUAAGUGGGUGUGGCGUACGGCUCAGUAACACGUAGCUAAUCUACCCUCAAGAAGGGCAAAUCCCGGGAAACUGGGUAUAAUACCAUAUAAAUGACACGUACUGGAAUGUUGUGUCAUUGAAACGAAACCAGCUAUAUUCCGCUGGUCUUCGCUUGAGGAUGAGGCUGCGGCGCAUUAGGUAGUUGGCGGGGUAACUGCCCACCAAGCCGAUGAUGCGUACGGGCCCUGAAAGGGGGCGCCCGGAGAGGGGAACUGAGAUAAGGUCCCCAGCCCUACGGGGUGCAGCAGUUUCGAAGUCUUUACACUGCGCGCAAGCGCGAUAGGGGAAUUUCGAGUGGCCACACUGUGGUCUUUUGCUAAGCCUAAAAAGCUUGGCGAAUAAAGGGGGGGUAACAUACGUGCCAGCCGCCGCGGUAAUACGUAGUCCCUAAGUGGUUUCCACUUGUAUUGGGCCUAAAACACCUGUAGCUGGUUUAGUAAGUCUUUGGUGAAAUCAAUUCGCUCAACGAAUUGAAUUGCUAAAGAUACUGCUUUGCUUGGGGAAGAGAGACGUGAAGGGAAUUUUUAGGGUAGCGGUGAAAUGCGAUGAUCCUAAAAAGACCUCCAGUAGCGAAGGCGCUUCACGAGAACUAUCCCGACAGUGAGAGAUGAAAGCUGGGGGAGCGACCAGGAUUAGAUACCCUGUUAGUCCCAGCUGUAAACGAUGUAGACUAGGUGUUCGCUUUCCUUCAUGGACUGCGAGUGCCGACGCGAAGGCAAUAAGUCUACUGCCUGGGGAGUACGCCCGCAAGGGUGAAACUCAAUGGAAUUGGCGGGGGCUCACUACAAGGGGUGGAUGUUGCGGUUUAAUUGGAUGCAACGCCAGAAAAUCUUACCAGGGAAGACAGCAGAGUGAUUUACAGUCUGAAGGGCUUUAAUGACGCGCUGAGAGGUCCUGUAUGGCCACCGCCAGCUCGUACCGCGAGGCUUCCUGUUAACUCAGGCAACGGGCGAGACCAAUACUCAUAGUUGCUACCGUGGUUUUGACUGCGGGCACUCUAUGGGGACUGCUAUAGUAAUAUAGAGGAAGGGGUUGUCAACGGUAGGUCUGUAUGAGCCGAAUUUCCUGGGCAACACGCGACACACAAUGGAUAGUACAAUUGGAUGCUAACCCGAAAGGGGGCGCUAAUCCCCGAAAAUUAUCCUCAGUUCGGAUCGAGGGCUGUAACCCGCCCUCGUGAAGUUGGAAUCCCCAGUAAUCGCGCGUCAUUAACACGCGGUGAAUUAGUCCCUGAGCCUUGCACACACCGCCCAUCAAGCCAGCCGAUUGGAGUCUGGAUGAGUACAGGCCGUUAGGCUUGUCCGAUUCUUGGUUUCGAGAGGGGGGCUAAGUUGUAACAAGGUG